AACGAACGCUGGCGGCGUGCCUAACACAUGCAAGUCGAGCGAGAAAGUCCCGGCAACGGGAUGAGUACAGCGGCGAACGGGUGAGUAACGCGUGGGUAAUCUACCCUCCAGCUCGGGAUAACCUGCCGAAAGGUGGGCUAAUACCGGAUGCUGUUCCCGUGGGGAACCUGCAGGAAGCAAAGGGGGCGAGCGUAAGCAGCUCUCACUGGACGAGGAGCAUGCGUCCGAUUAGCUAGUUGGUGGGGUAAUGGCCUACCAAGGCGACGAUCGGUAGCCGGCCUGAGAGGGCGACCGGCUACACUGGAACUGAGACACGGUCCAGACUCCUACGGGAGGCAGCAGUGGGGAAUCUUGCGCAAUGGGCGAAAGCCUGACGCAGCGACGCCGCGUGGGCGAUGAAGGCCUUCGGGUCGUAAAGCCCUGUCGGGUGGGACGAAUCUCCUGGUGGCGAAUAACCACCGGGCUUGACGGUACCACCGAAGGAAGCCCCGGCUAACUACGUGCCAGCCGCCGCAGUAA
RNAcentral lists this ribosomal RNA (519 nucleotides) under uncultured bacterium. RNAcentral's name for it is "partial 16S ribosomal RNA". It matches the Rfam family "Bacterial small subunit ribosomal RNA", at positions 29 to 523 of the family's 1533-position model. The record is from RNAcentral.